RNAcentral lists this transfer RNA (75 nucleotides) under Candidatus Levybacteria bacterium RIFCSPHIGHO2_01_FULL_40_16. Its description in RNAcentral is "tRNA-Ile". It matches the Rfam family "tRNA". Rfam says of the family: Transfer RNA (tRNA) molecules are approximately 80 nucleotides in length. Their secondary structure includes four short double-helical elements and three loops (D, anti-codon, and T loops). RNAcentral also lists the same sequence under 2 other names. The record is from RNAcentral. Lineage: Bacteria; Candidatus Levyibacteriota.
GGGCAGCUAGUUCACUGGUAGAACGCUUCACUGAUAAUGAAGAAGUACAUGGUCCGAUUCCAUGGCUGCCCACUA